This 253-nucleotide ribosomal RNA is filed under the name uncultured bacterium. Its description in RNAcentral is "partial 16S ribosomal RNA". It matches the Rfam family "Bacterial small subunit ribosomal RNA", at positions 524 to 776 of the family's 1533-position model. The record is from RNAcentral.
UACGUAGGGUGCGAGCGUUAAUCGGAAUUACUGGGCGUAAAGUGUGCGCAGGCGGCACCGCAAGUCGAGUGUGAAAGCCCCGGGCUUAACUUGGGAAUUGCGCUCGAAACUAUGGUGCUGGAGUGUGGCAGAGGAAGGUGGAAUUCCACAUGUAGCGGUGAAAUGCGUAGAGAUGUGGAGGAACACCGAUGGCGAAGGCAGCCUUCUGGGCCAACACUGACGCUCAUGCACGAAAGCGUGGGGAGCAAACAGG